UAGUAUGGGGAUCUGCCCGAUAGAGGGGGAUAACUACUGGAAACGGUAGCUAAUACCGCAUAACGUCGCAAGACCAAAGUGGGGGACCUUCGGGCCUCAUGCCAUCAGAUGUGCCCAGAUGGGAUUAGCUAGUAGGUGGGGUAAUGGCUCACCUAGGCGACGAUCCCUAGCUGGUCUGAGAGGAUGAUCAGCCACACUGGGACUGAGACACGGCCCAG
RNAcentral lists this ribosomal RNA (218 nucleotides) under uncultured bacterium. Its description in RNAcentral is "partial 16S ribosomal RNA". It matches the Rfam family "Bacterial small subunit ribosomal RNA", at positions 113 to 334 of the family's 1533-position model. The record is from RNAcentral.